UGUUACUUGGGUUGCAACCGUUGUGAGGCCAUCAGCAACCACAGAGUAGGGUGAACCAAGGGGAGGACCCCCCUCGAACGUUAGUAGUGCGGAUGAGGAAGAAGUCAAAGCCGCAGGUAGAAGUAGCUAGGGACGCCAAACCAAGGCGUAAAAAAAUAGGUGCCGAGCGUCUUGAAGGCGAUUCAAAGCGAUGCCAAGCUUGUGGACCUGGGAGCCGACGUGUGCAGUAUUAGACGUACUCGUACGGGUGAGAUGAUCCUCGGGCUCAAGCGCGACAAGGAGCGCGAAGGCGUCGCCUAAAAAAGUCUGGCAGAAGAGGUCCUUGGCGAAGGGAUGGUUACAAUGCCAGGAGCAGGUGGCCACUGCUGCCGUUAGGCUACGGAAGGGCUAGGUAGGGACACAGGUGGCCUUGGUACAGCUACUUUUGGUGGACGUAAACAAGUGGGGAAAAAUAGGUAGGUUGGCCAGUAUGCCAAUGCCAACUGACCUUGCACGAGCCACCGGAGGUUUGCUUCAGGUGUCUGGAACAAGGACACAAGUCAUGGGACUUUAAAGACCUUGACAGGAGCAAACUGUGUAGGCGAUGCGGCGGCGAAGGCCAUAAGGCACAAGGCUGUACGAGUCCACCCACAUGUUUGAUUUGUUCCGGAAAAUCCGUGAGCAGCAAGUACCCAUCUGGAGCUGCAAUGUGUCCGGCCUUCAGAAAAGCCGUAGCAGAUAAUACAGCUGAACCUGAACCCAAGACCUGAACCACUGCGCCGCAGCUCAGCAACUGCUUUGUCAGGGAGUAUGAGAGUAGGGGACAGAUAUCGCCAUCAUGUCGGACCCAUACCGAGUACCCGCCGGCAAUCGGGUCGCGAAAAAAGAGGCGGCGAUAUGGACGACGGAUAAAUACCCCGUCCAGGAUUUGGUGUCUACUAACUACGAGGGCUUCGUGGUCACCAAAGUAAACGGGGUCUCCUUCUGUAGCUGUUAUGCGCCUCCGCGGUGAUCAAUCGAGCAGUUUACGCAGAUGCUGGACUGUAUGACGACCGUGCUGACAGGGCGAAGUGCGGUGGCUAGAGGGUGAUUUUAAUGCUAGGGCCGUAGAAUGGGGAAGCCGUUUCAUGAAUCAGUGGGGUCAGAUCCUGCUAGAGACAUUGGCCAUGCUAGAUGUCGAUCUGGCUAAUGCCGUUACCAAGGGUACCUUUAGUCGAAACGGUAUGGCGUCGAUUGUCUACAUGACUUUUUGUAGUCCUGGCCAAACAAGUAGUUCGAACUGGAGAAUAGACGAUGGCUACACACACAGCUAUAACCUGGCGGUUCGCUACAGUAUCGACUACAACAACAGCAGGUAGCGGGUAGAAGAAGAGGGGGCUAGGCCAAGGCCAAGCCCUCGCAGGUGGAAGACAUCAUCCUUCGACGAAGGGGUUUUUAGGGAGGCGCUCCGCCAUGAACGAAACCUACUUGAUUUAGACGGCAACGAACUGGUAGCGGUGCUUUCGCGUGCGUGCAAUACGGCCAUGCCUAGUCAAGUUCUAGGGUAGACUGGGAGGCCAUCGGCAUACUGGUGGACUCAAGCGAUUACGGUCCUGCGCCACGCCUGCCUACGGGCUAGGCGACGGAUGCAGCGAGCACGAUCAGAGGAAGAGCGAAACGAAAGACGGGUGGUGAUCGCCGCUACAAAAGCCGCGCUGAAGACCUAGAUAAGGACAAACAAAAAUGCCUGCUUCGAGGGUCUCUGUCAGAGUGCCAAUGCGAAGCCGUGGGGUGAUGUCUACAGGAUCGUGGUAGCCAAGGCGAGAAUGGUUCCUACAGAGCAAUCUUCAGAGAUGUUGGAGGGGAUCAUCGAGGGGCUUUUGCUAAGGGCUGAAAGUCUCUAAAAUAAAUCGAGGGGAUUUUUCCGCGUCAUGAUCUUAGUUCUUGGCCUCCUUUCGUAGGACAGCCGGGGACUGGGGCUGGCGAUAAGGAGAGGGUCGCCGAUAUGGAGCUUGCGGGAAUAGCAAAGUCCGUUAGAGUAGAUAAGGCCCCAGGUCCGGACGGAGUUCCGAACCUGGCCUUAAAAGUAGCUAUUGCAGAGACUCCCGAGAUGUUCAGGUCUGCUAUGCAGAAAUGCCAGGACGAGGGAGUUAUCCCAGAAGUAUUGAAGAGGCAUAGCCUGGUUCUAUUGCCAAGGGCGGGGAAACCAUCCGGAGACCCGUCGGCGUAUAGACCAAUUUGCUUGAUUGACACGGCGGAGAAGGUACUCGAAAGAUCAUCCUCAAUAGAGUGUUGAGGCACAUCGAGGGUGUAAACGGUCGCUCGGGUAGCCAGUGCGGCUUCUGGAAGGGGCCGUAGACCGUAGACGCUAUCCUGUCGGUUACAAAGUCCACCUAGGAAGCUCUCCAGCGUUAGAGGAGGGAGAUUUACUACUAUGCAGUGACCUUGGAUGUAAGAAACGCGUUCAAUAAGGGGUGCUAUGUAUAAGAUUCUCGAAAGUUUCUUCCAGAGUCGAGUACUAGUUAACGAUACAGAGGUGGAUCGGAAGUGUUUUCACAUAACCUCAGGAGAUUCGCAAGGUUUCAUCUGCGGUCCGGUGUUAUGGAAUGUCAUGUAAGACAAGGUGUUGAUGUGAAAGUUCCUGCCAUAGUCGGCUUUGAUGUGUGGAUGAAUGGACAGCGGUACUGGUGUUCCAAAUUAUCGUGCGAAGAAAUCUACUGAGUAUGUCCCAAAUAACCCAAGAACACAAAAAAACGGAAAAUAAAACAACCAAAAAGGUAAAGUCUCAAGGACGCUUGCGUGGCUUUAUUUGUGUCUUUCCAACCUACAGCUAGUAAUAAUAAUAAAAAAAAAAAUACUAAAGGUGAGUAAAAAUAUUUUGAUUUUCCAUGUGUUGCGGUAUUGUGCCUAGCAAAAAUAUGUACAACCUACUAAACUUAGGUGACUAUCCUCUGAAAUUGCGAUGCAUGUGAACUUAUCUGCUAAAAAGGUAAAAAAGGUAUCUUUUCUGUUAAAGCCUACGAGUAAUAAAAAAAAAACCUUAUAGCUACGCACCCGUUCUUGUUUUUUUAUGUUUGUUUGAUUCCUUACUAGUUUUGCUUAAGAAGUUUUCCUUUCCUACAUCAUUUCUUGCGCUUCCGCCGCGGUCUGCUUGUUUUCAGUUACUCAAUCUUCCACAGAAACAACCGCGCGCGCUAUGCGACAAGAAAUGAUUUGUGCUAUAAAUGUGCUAAAACAAAACUCUCUGAGAUAAAAAGGUAAAACUAUGUGUGCGGCUACCGCCGCGGUGUAAUCAGGAGGUGAGAACAACUUAAUCGCAAUAAUAUAAACCUGACAAAACUUACGUUCUAGUUCGCGCAGUAUAGUUGUGUUGCUUCUCUUGAGUGAUUGUUUGUUUUUUGUUUAUGUGUGUGUGCGAGUUCCUAGGUUUCACUUCGCACUAGAACCGCGCAACUUUAUUGUUCAAGUUUCGUUUGUGUUUGUGUGUGCACGUUUGUUUCUCUAUCAGCUUCUUGUUCUUCACUGGGGUUAGGGUUAUUAAAAUAUAACAAACAAAAAAAAAUAAACUUAGAUUUAUAGGUAACACGUUUUUUCAGGAAUUUUCUCGUGGGUAGUGGCUACCGAAAGGGGGUGGAGGAUUUGCUAUAAAGUUAAUGUGUAGUUUUAAUAACUGGAGAUCAUUGGUGUCUUGCAUCUGCGCUAUUAGUUUGUUAAAUUUUGACAAAAGUAAAGUAAUCCUGCUUCGACUACAAUUUCCCUUGAGUAGACGCGAGUGUUGGUCGUACCUUUUAUUGUGCGCUGAUUCAUAUUUUUUUUAGACAGGAGUAUAUGCACACAUUGGGUAUGAGUUUUCUUUUUUUUUAACUGUUAUACACUUAUGCAUAUGGCACUUGUGGAAGAGACUUUUUCACAGCUUCAGUGUGACUCUAUUCGAUUAUGCCGUUUGUCGGGUUCGGACUAGUUCUACUUUCAACCAAAAAUGGUAGCCAAUCAUCAAGCAAGAGUUAGAGGGAGGGUUUCUGUCAUCAAAAAAGUUCUGGGCUCUUCGAAUGAACUUUGGAGGACUUUUGGGCUUCCUUCAUUUAUAUGUACUUGUCGACCUUUUGUCUUAGAUUCCAAAUAAAGUUUAGAGGGUUCGGCUUUCGGAACAAAGACUCUGUUCGUCACAUUGGAUACUCCUAAAAAGUAUUGCUGGUAAAUUUUGAAUAGAUUCGAAAACCCAGGAAAGUGAUAUGUCACACGAAUUCAGGCUUUUUUGCUUCCCAUUUUAAUACUUACGUGUGAAUUCUCAACAUCUUGGUGACUUUUUGUUGGUGUGAUAUUAUGGUUACUUUCGGGAUCGUAAGGCGAUGAAAAACACCUUGAGUAAAUAAUACAGCUUCCGCUCGAUGAUUGGGCUUUGACGUCUACCAUAACUGGACUGUUCCCGGGGCCAGAGGCUAUUGUUAUAUUGUGUUAUGAUUAUCGAUUUGCUAAAUGUGAGGUUAUGUUUCGUUUAUUUUUGACCGUCAACUGAUUUUCAACUGGACUGUGGUGGAUCAGUAAUCGAGCGCCCAGUUAAUAAGCAGUCCAGCUAAACAGCAGGCAGUUAUCAAGCAGAUACUGUAUAAGGUUAGAAUGCCAUGUCGUGUAAAUUUACAGAAGUUAACUUCUGUGGAGCCAACGUGGUGUGAUGGCUAAAGUGCAUGUCUUUUACGCUGAAUACAUGGGAUCGAAUUUCACUGUCGGCAAACUCACAAAAAUGCAAGUUCUUCCUUCGGAAGGGAACUAAAACGUGUGUUCCAUGACAGACUAGCCUAGGGCUAAAAAUUUCAUUAAUACAGAUAGGAACAAUAUAAACUUCUUCAAAUUCUCACGAUCCAGUUGAGCGCAUAAUAUGUCACAGAAAUUUACACUGUUUACACCUACAUAAAAUAUGUUUGAUGAUUUGAAAAUCCGGCCAAUCUAGUACAGUUGUUGGAACCGCAGAACUGUAGCUGAAUAAAGGUAAUGAUCCACUAAGUAGUAUUGACAUUGACGUGAUACUUUGUGUUUAGAAACUAGGUAUGAAAAAGUCGUGAAAGUGUAUGAAAAUACUAACGCUUCUCGUAAAUAAGAAGUAUCGAGAAUAUUAGUAAUUUUCCAUUAAACUACCCAGUAUUAGAGAUUGGUGUUACCCUUGAGCUAAACUUUUAGAAUAUAAUGUUGUCAGGACUUUUCCUCAUGAGUCAUGACAUUCCGGGUCAUUUCUCAUCACUGAUCGGAAUUCCAUCAAAGUUUAGAUCUCUUAGUUGUGGGGUGUAAACAAAGGAUUGUGACAUGCCCUUUGCUUGUCCUUCCCCUAAAAAAGCAUCAUUAACAGCAAGCAGCAUGGUGAGGUUGUCAGUGUGAUGAUGCCUCAUUGAGGAGUGGAGCUUUGGCGGAGUAAGUCGCCUGCAUCAUGAGGUUUCGUAUUAUGCCAAGUGAUUCUACCGUAAUUUGCUAGGAUGGCUGGAUACGGAUUGUUCCAGUAAAUGACGUAACAUUCAUAUAAGUCUGGGGUCUUCCACUUAGAACAUAAAUUAACGUAAAUAUUUGCACCGGAAUAUCUAGAUAUCCUUUCGCAAUUGAAAUUUGGAUUCGUCAGCUUGUAUUUCUGUUUUGUGGAUGUUUCUUAUAAAAAAUCUGCUCAAAUUUUUCGGAAACAGUUCAGAUUUCAAAACAUUUUUUAGAAAUAUAUCAUAAAAUAACAAAUAGAUUCUGGGAUUAUUAAAAAUUAUAUAUUACAAAAAAAUGCACCCAAAAUUUCUUCCAUCAGUUUUUCAAAAAUUUAGCAAAAACUCCUUCCAGAGUACCGCCACAAACUGCAGAAAGUGUAUGAAACCCAACAUUUCUACAGAAAUACGUCAAGAAUACUUGAAUUUUCCAAAAUGUCAUUGAAAGUUCUUCUAAUGAGUGAUCAAAAAAAUUCCUCACAGAUUGUUCUGAGCAUUCCGUCAGAAAAUUUGUAAAAAAAACUUCAUGAGAAGUCCUUUUUAGCAUAUUUUUCUGACCCUAAUAAAAGGCUUGCUACACUAUCAAAGAUUGCUCUUCACCCUACGAGGAGUUAUCCUCGCUCGAGUCCUAGGAAAAUAAUUUACAGAAAUCCAGUCCACGAAGAAAUCUGAAGUUUACUGUUUUUUUUCUAAAGGAAAAAUUCCAGGAGAAACCAUAAGAAGAAUUUCGGAAGUAAUACCUCAAAGAACUGAGAGAGAAACCUCUGAAGAAAUCCUUGAACAUAUCUCUAAAGGAGUCCCAGGAAAAUUCUUACGAGGAUUCGUCCAGGAAUUCCUGAAGAAUUCCCUUAAAUUAACGAAUCCAGGGAGAAAUCUCUGAAAGAAUCCAAUUGAAAGAAUUCUUGGAGGAAUCCCUCAAUGAAUCACUGGAAUAAUUCCCUUUAGAAGUUUCAGAAAGAAUUUUGGAGUAUGUUAAAAUUUUCCGGGAGGAAUUAUUGAAGUAAUUUCGUUAGGAAUCACUUCAAGAAUCUCGGAAAGAUUCCCGAGAGUAAUCCAUGCAGGAUUUUCUGAAGAAAUACCGAAAGGUAUCCCCGAGAGAAUCCCUGUAGGAAUCCAUAUAGGAAACUCUUGACGGAUCCCUGAAAGAAUCUCGGGAGAAUUCCAUGAGAAAAUCCCAGGAGAAAACCUUGUAGUAAUCCCAGGAGAAGUAACUGAAGGAAAUUCGGGAAGAAUCAUUUAAGGAUGCGGAAUCCCUGAAGGAAUCCCAGGAACAAUUCCAUUGAAAAAUCUUUGAAACAAUUCUGAAAUAUUCCAAAGAGGAAUUAUUGAAGGAAUUACGCAAAGAAUCUGUCAAGAUUUGUCAAGAAAUCGCGAUAGGAAUCCCAGGAGGAAUCCAUGCAGAAAUCCCGGCAUCAUUCCCUGGAAGAACUCCCUGAAAGAAUUCUUGGGAGAAACCUGGGAGAAAUCUCUGAACGAAUCCUUAUAGAAAUCCCUUAAGGAAUCCCUUAAAGAAUGUUGGAAUAAAUCUAUGAGAAAAUCCUGAGUGCCUAAGUAACAUCUUGAUGACCUAUUAGCCUUGUAGAGGUUUUGGGGACAGUCAUAAAACCUAAUACUUUUUAUUUUGGUAUAACACAACCAAAAAACCUCGCUCGUCGUAUAUAGCGCAAUUGCGGUUCAGUUUCAGGAUCAAACAUGCGCACGUGCUGAAAGAAUGACUCAUCUCUGAAAGAAUUCCUGGAGAAAUCAAUGAAGGGAUUUCGGAAGGAAUCCCUGAAAAAUUCUCGGGAGGAAUUCUUAAAGGAACAUUGUGAGGAAUCCUCGAAGAAAUUCCUGAGGAAUCCCUAUAGGAAUUCUGAGAGGAAUUCCCAAAGGAAUUCCGGGAGGAAUAUCAGAAAGAAUCCAGGGAGGAAACUUGGAAAAAAUCCAUGAAAGAAUCCUUCAAAGAACCCUCAAGGAAUUUCGGGAGAAAUUCGUGAGAAAAUCCCAUAAGGAAUCCAUGCAGUAAUUCCGGGAGAUAUCUCUAAAGGAAUCCUGUAUGGAAUCUUGAAGGAAUACCGCGAGGGCUCUCUGGAAUAAUCCGAGAAGAAAACGGAAGUAGUGUCCGAAAGAAUCGUCAAAGGAAUCCCUGAUGGAAUUCCUGGAAGAAUCCAUAGCCUAGGAGAAUUUUUUUAACCCUUCAGGAUGCGCGCCGUUAUGAUAAGUACAAGACACAUUCUACCGUGACGUUACAACGUUUCGAUGCCGUUUUGAUAAGAUUUCCCACUAUAACUCGUAAAUACGACGGUAAACCUCAAAUAUGUUUGCAUGUUCGGAUUCGUUGUAAAACAAUAUGAUCUGUUGAACAGUUAGUUUCCAUUUGUGAAGUGUGUUCAAAAUGUGAAUUAAGAGCGUGACAUUACAACGUUGUAACGUCACGCUACUCGUUCUCAUUUUUAACCAGCUUUUGCAAUGAAAACUAUAUGUUCAACUGAUCAUAUAUACUGCAAAUUUUACAAGGAUUCCGAGUGUGCAAAAAUGUUUGAGAUUUACAUGGGUUAUAGUGGAAAAUCUGACCAAAACGGUGUCAAAACGUUAUAACGUAACGGUAGAAUGUGUCACAACACAAUCGAAAACCUCGCUUCUCGUAUACAGCGCGAGCGUGGUGCAUUUAAGGAUCAAAAAGGCGCGUAUGCUGAAAGGUUAAACCAUCCCUGAAAGAAUUCCAGGAGAUCAGGAGAAAUCAAUAGAGAUAAUCCCUGAAAGAAUCACGGGAGGUAUCUGUGAAGAAAUACCGAUAGGAAUCCCUGAAAUAAUCCCGGGAGGAAUCUCUGAAGGAGUCCUGGAAGUAAUCUAGGAAGGAUUCCUAGGAGUAAUCUCCAAUGGUAUUCCUAAAAGAAUCUCUGUAGGUAUUUUCAAAGAAUCUCUAUAGGAAUCCCUAAGAGAAUAUGUGGGAGAAUUUCCUUAAAAUCCCAGAAGGAACUCCGGAAAGAAUCCUUGAAAUAUUCCCGGGAGAAGUCCCUGAAUGAAUACUGAAAGAAAUCCCAGGAAUAAUCUCCUAAGUUAUUUCUAAAAGAAUCACUGUGGGAAUUCCUAAAAAAAAACCUGGGAGAAUUUACUUUAAAAUCCCAUAAGGAACUCCGGGGAAAAUCCCUGAAGAAAAGCCGGGAGGAAUCCCUGAAAUAAUCCCGUGAUGAUUCUCCUUGAAGGAGUCCUUGAAAGAAUUCCUCGGGAAAAUUAGCUUAAGAACCCCGUGAAAUAAACCCGGAAGGAAUCUCUGGAUGAAUCCUAGAAGAAAUCCUCGGAGGAAUCCAUAGAGAAGGAACCCCUUGAAGAAUCUUGGUUGCAAUCCGUGAGCCUUGGCAGGAAUCCCUGUAGAAAUCUCUACAGGAAAUACGAGAAGAAUAAAUGACGGAAUAUCGGGACUUGGGAGGGAAUUCUGAAAGAAUCCUCGAGAAAGUCCUCGAAUAAUCUUGAGAGAUAUCCAGAAAGGAAUGAAAUUCCCUUAAGGUAAUACUGGGAGGAAUCCCGGGAGGAAUCCCAGGAGAAAUCUCUAAAGUUAGUUUGGGAAAAGAAUCCGUGGAGAAAUCUCAUAAGAUAUCACAGAAGGCAUCCCUGAAAAUAUGCCGGAAGAAAUAUUUUGCAAGAAUGCCCGGAGGACAGGGAUAGGGUGCGACUCAAAACUCUUUGCGUGCCGCACACGCUGCUACGAGACAGCACAACAAACCAGAAGGAGACGAGUACGAGUAAACGGUUGUGUGUUGCUCGCUUACUUUGCCGCGCGCUGGAGCUCUCCUGUCUCUCACGAUCUGUCGUAUGCACUCUCUCGGUGCUUGUCUCCGUGCUUUGCACUUAACUUGAUACUACGCAUGAUUGGGAAAACUUCGAAUCAAACGACCCAUCACUCGUCAACCCUUGACAAGCUUAACAACUUUGCCGAAAACACAAACUCUUCAAUUAAUGUAUUAAAUGAUUUUUCCUGUUUGGAGACAAGCACAGUCUCAAGCACCGUGCAUUACUCCCUGCGCCGUAGAGCUAGUGCUGCGAUUUGUCUCUCGCGCAAUUACGAAAGCUCUCACUCAUACGUCUCUGUCUCUCGGCAAAACGGGAGACAAGCACUUGAGAUUGUGUGAAGCACACGCUUUUUUCGCACCGCACGGUGCAUGCCGCCAAUCCUUGCCGGAGGAUUCAGAAAACCUGGAAGAAAUUUCUGAAUCUCAGGUUUUUUUAUGAGUGACCGGGAGAAAUCUCUAAAGGAUUCUCUGGAAGAAUGAAUUAAUUGCUCUGGACUUGAAAUAUCCUGAAACAUUUUCGUAGAUAUCGUUUCAGGCAAUUUCCGACAUCAGCAAAUUCGUUUUUUGUUUCUUAUACACCCUUUCCAGAAACUAAAAAUACGCUACAGAAAGCAGCAAAAUUUUGAAUUUAUCGGUGUUCCUGCAAACAAGUAAACAGUAUACGAAAUUGUUCAAAUUUGUUGACCGAUAAUAAUCGAUUUCAUUCUUGCAGCUCACCCAGUGCGGUGCAUUUAAGGAUUCCUGAAAUAAUCCCGGGAAGAAUCUCUGGAGGAAUCUCGGAAAAAGUUCUAGAAGGAAACCCAGGAGUAAUCUCUGAAGGAAUCUUUGAAGGAAUUUCUGAAAGAAUCCCUGGGAUUUUUUAAGAAUCCCUGAAAGAACCCAGGGAGGAAUCAAUGAAGCAAUUUAAAAAGAAGUCCCUAAAAUAAUCCCGGGAAGAAUCUCUGGAUGAAACCAGGUUAAGCAGAACAAUUCCUCUAGCUGCUUCUUUGGUGCGGUUGCCUUCGUCAUACCCAAAACGAGAUAAAUUGUGAAGUCGUAAGUGAGGUAAAAUUGAAACGUGAAAAUUUGCGUAAUUAUUCGGUUUCAGUGCUAUGGAGGGUGAUAAUUGAUAGUAUACAUAUUUUUGCUUCCAUAUUAUGAGCCAUUGGCAAAGGUCAGUUUGAAUAUCUGUAACUAUCGACUGAUAUGGCGGAAAUUAACGCAUAUGAGGAAGAAGAUUUCCUCCCUAUAUCAUUGGGGUUUUCAAAGACAUGUUAAACAUUUUGGGACACUUUUUGUUGAUUUCUUUUAGAUAACAGCAUGCAUAUCAGACCUAUCCAGAUAUUCAUGAUAUCAAAAAACUAUAAGCUGUAAAGUAAUAGAGCUGAAAACCUCAACUUUGCUAAUUUUGCCGCAAUUAUUCAUCCCGUUUCCCUCCUUCCAAACAUACAAAAUAACAACAAAAUUCCAAGUGACAUUAAUCACAAAAUCAGGAUAAAUGCAAAUGCGUAAAAUCUUCUCCUCUCCAUUCCUACCCCCCACUCAAUAUCAAUAAAUUUCAAUAAUAUUGUAAAAAUUAUCGGUCCCAGACCACGCACUACAAAGGGGGGCCGAUUCCUCGACCCGAAACAAAAAACCUGGGAAAACCCCCGAACAUUGUCCUGCCCAAAAACAGUAAAUUAAAAUUCACGAAUAUAUUAACCAAAAGUCGUUGUUGUCGUCGUCGUCAUUGGCAUCGGAAUCCGGUUUGGGAAUGGCCAGCGCGUGGCCCAUCCUCGGGGAAAGGUCCGAAUGGAUUUCGGAGAGCGCGAGAGGAAAGAAAAAAAAAACACGAAACGGAGAAACCGGAAAUGUAAUUUUUUCGACAACGAGAUAAAAUGACCUUUUCCACACCCACCCACGCACGCACGCAGUGAGCAAAUUCGAGAAAUUAAAACAAAUUUGGGCAGAAGAAAAGCCAUCCAUCAGAAGUCCCGAUCGGAUUCCGGGGCUUGUGGGUCGCUUCGAUUAUUUUUUUUUUUGCAGAAGCGCUUCUACAUAGUGCUAACCAGUUGAUGAUUGGUAGGUUGGCAUCAAUAAAUAAUGUUGGUAAAAAUCGCUUUUUGGUUCAAUUUGUUUUUGGACUUCAACAAGUUUUUUUU
Aedes albopictus (Asian tiger mosquito) is the source of this 11301-nucleotide long non-coding RNA. RefSeq lists it as uncharacterized. Lineage: Eukaryota; Metazoa; Arthropoda; Insecta; Diptera; Culicidae. The record is from RefSeq and is a predicted model, not a curated record. The transcript is spliced from 2 exons.